GAUGAACGCUGACAGAAUGCUUAACACAUGCAAGUCAACUUGAAUUUGGGUUUUUAACUUAGGUUUGGGUGGCGGACGGGUGAGUAACGCGUAAAGAACUUGCCUCACAGCUAGGGACAACAUUUGGAAACGAAUGCUAAUACCUAAUAUUAUGAUAAUAGGGCAUCCUAUAAUUAUGAAAGCUAUAAGCGCUGUGAGAGAGCUUUGCGUCCCAUUAGCUAGUUGGAGAGGUAACGGCUCACCAAGGCGAUGAUGGGUAGCCGGCCUGAGAGGGUGAUCGGCCACAAGGGGACUGAGACACGGCCCUUACUCCUACGGGAGGCAGCAGUGGGGAAUAUUGGACAAUGGACCGAGAGUCUGAUCCAGCAAUUCUGUGUGCACAAUGAAGUUUUUCGGAAUGUAAAGUGCUUUCAGUUGGGAAGAAACAAAUGACGGUACCAACAGAAGAAGUGACGGCUAAAUACGUG
This 467-nucleotide ribosomal RNA is filed under the name uncultured bacterium. RNAcentral describes it as "partial 16S ribosomal RNA". It matches the Rfam family "Bacterial small subunit ribosomal RNA", at positions 28 to 507 of the family's 1533-position model. The record is from RNAcentral.